Carassius auratus (goldfish) is the source of this 2278-nucleotide long non-coding RNA. NCBI's taxonomy places the organism in Eukaryota, Metazoa, Chordata, Actinopteri, Cypriniformes, Cyprinidae. The record is from Ensembl.
GUUUGUUUUUUAUCAGUAUCAUAUUUUAGCUUUAAUAAUUUUACUACAUAAAGGUCAAUUAAAUGAAAAUUAUAAUUAUAGAAUAAUCUACAAUAUUUAUUUUGUACUUUAUUAUUUAAUUCUCAUUAUUAUUUAAGCUGUGUAAAUGCAAAACCAGCUUGAUAUUGCAUCUCAGAUCUUCAGGUUCGGAGCAACAUGAGGGUGAAUUAAUAAUGAUGAUUUUCAUUAUCUCUUGAGAAUUAAACCCAAGGUGUGUGGAUGUGGAGGAAACAAGGUCUUCCUCUCGCUGUGAGUCUCUCAUGCAUUUUGAAUGAGCAUCUACAGUAGAUAAUUUUCCAUGAGGGGAAAUGCUAUUGUCUGUAAACCGUUGAAUCAUUCACACUGAGAAAACACCUGCAUGUAUUUUUAAUGGCCUCUCACACACAGGAGUCCAAGUCAAAACAUGCUGUUAAACGGCUGGUUUUAGGAGGCCGAACGCUCGUCUGGAGUCGGAUUCAUGCUCUCUCAUCCUUUGACACAUCUGUUUCCAUGGUAAUGGACCACUUUGGCCCCUGUGACCAGCAGAGGGAGCAGCUGAUGCUCACAAACAACACAACAAACCCACAGAUUUCCCAGAGCAGCUCUCAGCCACAAAAGCUGUACACUGGAGCAGCUGUGUCCUGUAUAUAAGAGCUGGAAACACUCGUUAAGGAUCAGACGCCUGACGCUCCAUUCUGUCAGAAAUGUCACUGCAUUUAAUGGCUUGAAUACAACAGAGAGAGAACUUCCUUCACCUGUCAACAGACACGAGAGAGAGAGAGAGAGAGAGAGAGAGAGAGAGAGAGAGAGAGCAUUUACAGCAUCUAGUGAAUUAUUGAAAGCGUUCUUCAUCCUCCUCAUCCUCGCAGCGCUCUGUAAAUGAAGGGCUGUAGUAAAGCGAGGGAAAUGUCACAGAUCUUCUGUUCAAGUGCUUUGUGAAGGAUGGAGAGCGUUAGCGUUACGCUAUAAAUGAUAAAUGACAGUCAAAAGCAGAGAACUCAAAGCGUGAUCUCAUUAGUGUUCGCAGUAAUCAGAUGUAUUCUAGAAAACAAACACAAAUAUGAGUUUGGAUAAACUCUGAUAUAUAUAUAUAUAUAUAUAUAAUAUGAAUAGAUGGACAUGUUUCUAAAGUGUAGCUACUGGUACAUGCUUAUGUAGAAUUCAUACAAUUCUUGUGAAACCGGUUUAGGCUAACAUAAUGCUAAUUAAAUAAAUUAUAAAAAUAAAUUAAUAAUAUAAUUUAAAAUAAAAUAAAAUAAAAAGUAUUUUGCCAAAGUGGUAAUAAUGGUGGGGGGGGGAUUAUUUAAAAUAAACUAAUAAAAUAAACUAUUAAAAUAUAAUUUAAUACAAAUAAAUCAAAAUUAAACAUAGUAAAUUAAACUUUAAAAAUGAACUUACAUUUAAAUGAAAAUAAAUUUUAUUAAUUAAAAUUAAAUAUAAUAUAAUGUUUAAAUAAUACAAAUUGAAUAUAAAAAAUAAAAAUAAACAGGAAUGAAUAAAUGAGAACAGCAACCUGCACAUUUGUAUUACCAGAGCAGUGAAAAACAUGAAUAAAAAAACUAAACGAAAUAAAACUAAAUAAAAAGUUAAUAUUGGCUGAUGAUCGAUCCCAAUAUUCAAUUCCCUGUUUCAGAGAUAUCAUGAAUAUUUUGGUCUUUUACGUUGACAAUAUCUUAGUAAACUGCAUUAAACUGCAUGUCUGCAUAUUCACACUCACAGAGGUUUAGAACAAAUGGAAAAGGCAGAAUAUGAAUGUGUGUGUGUGUGAACUGCUGCUGUAACUCCCUGCUGGAGUGUAAUCCCACGGCUGUGAUGUAAUGCCCUGAUGAUAUUUUGUGUACGAGACUCAAAUAAGAGGAAUUCAUAAUGAGGGUUUGGGAUCGAGGCGCCUGUUCUGCUAAAAACUCUGAGCAUGUGGAAGAGGACAAAGAGGAUUUUCAGUCUCAUCUCAACGAGAGCAGGUUAUUUCAUCUCUCUUUGCUAACCUUUCUGACCCUCUCACUCACUUUAAACACUGACCGUACGACUUCAUUUACACCUUCAUGAUGGAAAUCAUUCUUCAGUAAAACAUGCAUUUACUUCGCUAACAAUUCAAACCUGUUGCAACUUUUACAUGAAAUAAUAAAUAAACAAACAAGCAAUAUAAACUUGAUGUGAAUUUUACUUUAUGUAUAUAUAUUUUAUUUAUAUAUAUAUAUAUAUAUAUAUAUAUAUAUAUAUAUAUAUAUAUAUAUAUAUAUAUAUAUAUACAUUAUAUAGG